CACUUAGAUGUUCUGGGCCGCACGCGCGCUACACUGAUGCAUUCAACGAGUUUCUUCCUGGUCCGAGAGGAAUGGGUAACCUUUUGAAAGUGCAUCGUGAUAGGGAUAGACUAUUGCAAUUAUUGGUCUUCAACGAGGAAUUCCUAGUAGACGUAGUUCAUCAGACUGCAUCGAUUACGUCCCUGCCCUUUGUACACACCGCCCGUCGCUCCUACCGAUUGAAUGCUCAGGUGAGCCAUUCGGACUUUCAUCAUGCUGGUUUCCAGUUUUGAUGAAGGAAAGUCUUGCGAACCUUAUCAUUUAGAGGAAGGAGAAGUCGUAACA
Molecule: ribosomal RNA, 324 nt
Filed under: uncultured eukaryote
Lineage: Eukaryota
Description: partial 18S ribosomal RNA
Rfam family: Eukaryotic small subunit ribosomal RNA
Source: RNAcentral